RNAcentral lists this ribosomal RNA (253 nucleotides) under uncultured bacterium. RNAcentral's name for it is "partial 16S ribosomal RNA". It matches the Rfam family "Bacterial small subunit ribosomal RNA", at positions 524 to 776 of the family's 1533-position model. The record is from RNAcentral.
UCCGGAGGGAGCUAGCGUUGUUCGGAAUUACUGGGCGUAAAGCGCACGUAGGCGGCUACUCAAGUCGGAGGUGAAAGCCCGGGGCUCAACCCCGGAACUGCCUUUGAAACUAGGUAGCUAGAAUCUUGGAGAGGUCAGUGGAAUUCCGAGUGUAGAGGUGAAAUUCGUAGAUAUUCGGAAGAACACCAGUGGCGAAGGCGACUGACUGGACAAGUAUUGACGCUGAGGUGCGAAAGCGUGGGGAGCAAACAGG